AGGUGAUCAAGGAGUACCCAGUUUUGCCCUACGGUGCUAGGAACUUCCCUUGCACCGGCUCUUCCGUUUUGCUUCCUCUCCAGUUAAACAGAGGGACUGACAUGGCUGAAUUACCACAAGCGGAGGUGAUGAUCUGCGGUGGCUCAAAGCCCGGUUCGUAUGUCAAGGCUUACAUGGAGCACGUUUACGACGAAGCGUCGAGGACAUGUGGGAGGUUAAAAGUGACAGACCCGAAACCCAAUUGGAGCAUGGAGCUCAUGCCCACUCCAAGGGUCAUGAACGACAUGUUAUUAUUACCCACCGGUGCCGUCAUCAUUAUCAACGGCGCCACUAAUGGCAGCGCUGGCUGGAACGACGCCGUGAACCCGGUUUUCCACCCUUUUCUAUACCUCCCUGAAGAGAAUCCGGCCCAGAGAUUCGUGGUCCUGAACCCAUCGAACAUUCCAAGAAUGUACCACUCCACAGCAGCGCUUUUGCCAGAUGGAAGGAUCCUAGUGGGUGGAAGCAAUCCACACCCAACGUACAACUUCACAGCAUAUCCAUACCGGACAGAACUAAGUUUGGAGGCUUUUUACCCGCCAUAUCUGGACCCACUGUACGUACAUCUAAAACCGUCAAUCCUGGGAGUGGAGUCGACAGGGAAAACGGUGUCGUACAAGGAGAUGUUCACAGUGACAUUCGUGUUGACGCUUUACCGUUCAGAUUUGGGGAUAUCGGUGGUGAUGAUGACGCCGUCGUUUAAUACGCACUCAGUGUCCAUGAACCAGAGGAUGUUGGUGUUGAAGGUGGUGAACGUAGAGAGGCUGUCUGCUUAUGGAUAUAAGGUCAACGCGAUUGGGCCCACCAAUGUCAAUGUGGCCCCACCUGGGUAUUAUAUGCUUUUUCUGGUCAACGCUGGCAUUCCUAGCCAUGCCGUUUGGGUCAAGCUGCGCUGAAUAAUAGUGAUCCAGUUUGGAUGAUGCUGCUGCUUAGGACAUUAAUUACUCGUAGGUUUUCUAUUCUUUUUGCUGGUUAGGAGGGGAAAAAAGGAAUCGAAUAGUGUAGUUGGAAUCCCAUGUAAACAAGAAUGUAUGUAUUUGUUUGAUAUUAAGCUGCAAAUUUCAAUUCCGGUUCUCC
Molecule: unclassified non-coding RNA, 1116 nt
Filed under: Hevea brasiliensis (rubber tree)
Lineage: Eukaryota; Viridiplantae; Streptophyta; Magnoliopsida; Malpighiales; Euphorbiaceae
Source: RNAcentral